RNAcentral lists this ribosomal RNA (445 nucleotides) under uncultured Actinomycetales bacterium. RNAcentral describes it as "bacterial SSU rRNA". It matches the Rfam family "Bacterial small subunit ribosomal RNA", at positions 338 to 795 of the family's 1533-position model. Lineage: Bacteria; Bacillati; Actinomycetota; Actinomycetes; Actinomycetales. The record is from RNAcentral.
CCUACGGGGGGCUGCAGUGGGGAAUAUUGCGCAAUGGGCGAAAGCCUGACGCAGCGACGCCGCGUGAGGGAUGACGGCCUUCGGGUUGUAAACCUCUUUCAGCAGGGACGAAGCGAAAGUGACGGUACCUGCAGAAGAAGCACCGGCUAACUACGUGCCAGCAGCCGCGGUAAUACGUAGGGUGCAAGCGUUGUCCGGAUUUAUUGGGCGUAAAGAGCUCGUAGGCGGUCUGUCGCGUCGGAUGUGAAAACUUGGGGCUCAACCCUGAGCUUGCAUUCGAUACGGGCAGACUAGAGGAUGGCAGGGGAGACUGGAACUCCUGGUGUAGCGGUGGAAUGCGCAGAUAUCAGGAAGAACACCGGUGGCGAAGGCGGGUCUCUGGGCCAUUACUGACGCUGAGGAGCGAAAGCGUGGGGAGCAAACAGGAUUAGAUACCCCUGUAGUC